RNAcentral lists this ribosomal RNA (481 nucleotides) under uncultured bacterium. RNAcentral's name for it is "partial 16S ribosomal RNA". It matches the Rfam family "Bacterial small subunit ribosomal RNA", at positions 28 to 506 of the family's 1533-position model. The record is from RNAcentral.
GACGAACGCUGGCGGCGUGCUUAACACAUGCAAGUCGAACGAUGAAGAAGAGACACGCGAACUUCGGUUCAAAUUUCACUUCGGAUUAGUGGCAGACGGGUGAGUAACGCGUGAGCAACCUACCUCUUACAAAGGGAUAGCCUCGGGAAACCGUGAUUAAUACCAUAUGACACAUUCAUAAGGCAUCUUAAGAAUGUUAAAGCUACGGCGGUAAGAGAUGGGCUCGCGUCCCAUUAGCUAGUUGGUGAGGUAACGGCCCACCAAGGCGACGAUGGGUAACCGGCCUGAGAGGGUGAACGGUCACAUUGGAACUGAGACACGGUCCAAACUCCUACGGGAGGCAGCAGUGGGGAAUAUUGCACAAUGGAGGGAACUCUGAUGCAGCGACGCCGCGUGAGCGAUGAAGGAAUUCGUUUCGUAAAGCUCUGUUCUAUGGGAAGAAAAGGACUGUACCAUAGGAGAAAGCCCCGGCUAAAUACGU